RNAcentral lists this long non-coding RNA (5469 nucleotides) under Sus scrofa (pig). RNAcentral describes it as "lncRNA (ENSSSCG00035077496.1, ENSSSCG00055021776.1)". Lineage: Eukaryota; Metazoa; Chordata; Mammalia; Artiodactyla; Suidae. The record is from RNAcentral.
ACCCACAGGGGACAGUGGAAAUGGAAGGAGGAGUUAUUGUUGGGAUAUAUUUUUAAGGUGGAGUUCAAAGAUUUUACUCUGUUCGAAGAUAUGAAUGUUGGUGGGGGGGAGUGAAUUUUUGGUGGACUAUUAUUCAGCCAUAAAAAAGGGGGAAAUUCUGGAGUUCUCCUUAUGGCUCAGCAGGUUAAGAACCCAACAUAGUAUCUGUGAGGAUGCAGGUUCAAUCCCUGGCCUUUUUCAGUGGGUUAAGGAUCCAACGUUGCCAAAAGGCCCACACAUGGCUGAUAGGACCACCAGAUCACCUCGUACGAUCAGAUCUGUCCAUUUGGAACGCUUGUGGGUUGCAUCAUAUACCUGGAAAGGAUAUGUGAGGUCCUGACUCCGGCUAUACCUGUGAACGUGACCCUGUUUGGAUGUAAUCAGGUUAAGAUGUGGUCACAACGGAGUGCAGUGGUCCCUAGUUCAGUAUGACUGAGGUCCUUAAAAUAAGAGUAAAAUCUGGACACAAACAUGAGGAAGAGGGCCACGUGCAGGUGAGUUACAUGCCAGGAGCCAAAAUGGGCUUGGGGCCAUGAGAAGCUGGAAGAGGCAAAGAAGGACCCCCCACACUCACACACCAGAGGCUUCAGAAGGAGCAUAGCCUAGCCAACAACUCCAUUUCAGACUUCUAGCCUCCAGAAGGUCAAAAAAUAAAUGUAUCUUGUUCCAAGCCAGCUAGUUUGCUGUAAUUUGUUACAGCAGCCCUAGGAGUCUAAUGCAGGAACUUCAGGCAUUUUGGAUAUAUUAUACAUAUAUAUAUGUAAAUCUGUAGAAUAAAGGUAUUCUACUGCUUUUACAGAUGUCUCAAAAGAUGGCAUUUUUAAAAAUCUCAUCUCAGAAAAAAAAAUGCACAGAAUCCACAUCGAUGCCCAUAUUUAUUUUUUCCCCAAGUAAUUAAACAAAUUUAAGGUGGGUGGUGCAGCCUAGCUUCCCCUGAUUUCCAGUGAAUAGGGUUGAUGAGUCAGGACCAUUAUAUCUCUCAGAAAGUGCCCUGUAAAGCAAAAUCUGAGUGUUGUGUUUACUAAAGUGAUACCAUAUGUUGGUUGAUUAACAAGUUGUCAGAAUAUUAGAAGUUCUUGGCUGAUUGCAAGAAAGAGCAUCUGUUUGCUGAAUCUUGGAUCCAGUGUGUGUACAGAUAUCGCCAGGUUUGGCACUUUUCCUAAAUAUCAGAUAUAAAUUUUUGCAGUAUUUAGCCUUCAGAGAGUAACACUGAUGUACUGCUGGGGUUUAAGAUAUUUAUUCUCAAGAAAGCAAAUGAAGUAAAGCCAAAGAGAGAACGUAUACACAUAAGAGUAUUGUUGCAUCAUUUGUAAUUAUUUCACCAUUUUAUCUCAUAUCAUCUCCUACAACUGUUUUCUUGAAUGUCACUUGCAUAGUAAUUUAAGAAAAAAAGAUGAAAUCUCCUUUGCUAUUAUGUUACCUAUUGAUAGAAUUUAAUAAUGCCUUCUAUUUAUAAACUGACUUACAGUUUACAAAUGCUUAUUGGUUGCUCACAACCCUGUAAUGAUGGCAAAAAAAAAAAAAAAUCCCCGUUUCACAGAUAAAGAAUCUGUAGUUGAAGUGAGGGGAAUCCAUCUGGCUUGGAAGUGAUAGAACUUGGACUUAAAGCCUGGUCUUUUGAGCACCAUUCCUGGACUACUUGCAGGUUCCACAUGUAGCAGUUCAGGAGCUGGUUGUGGGGGCUGUGGCAGGACCUAGUCAGGGUGAAAUUCUGGAGUUUUUCUUUGUGCCUUUUUAUACCCUCUCUUUGAUUCAGUCAGCCAUCAUAUAAUGGAUUGUGACAUUCUAAUUCCAUCAACUAGAUUCUGUUGGGCCGGGGGGCGGGGGGACCUUUUCCUCUACCCUCUUAGGUUCAGUGUCUGGGGGCCUGCGAAUUUAACUGACCAAAAAACAGAUUAGGAGGAGAAAAGAAAUAUACAUUUCAUCGAUAUCAUUCAUGCGUGAGAGUUCUCAGAAAAGAAGUUAAAUGCAAAGAAGUGAUAAACUCAGGGACUUAUCUAUCAUUUUAACAAAGGCUCUCCUUUGUUUGGGCUUUGAAUGAGUAGAAAAUAUAUGGAGGGAAACUAAUGGAAGAUAAGGGUUAUUUUAGUAAGGUUUGUUUAUGCAGACUCAUCUCAGGGCUGACUCUGUCUGCAGUGAUAAGAGUUGCCUUCCUCUUCCCAGUACAGGAAUGGGAAACACCUUCAUAAAGGAAAGUUUAUGCCCUGCUUUUAGGUAGAAAGUGGAAGGGCAGACACUUUCUCCUGGGUCUGCUGUUUCUUAAUUGCUUUCAGUUCAAAAUAAUCCUUAUGCCAAAGUGGCAUAUUUUAGAAAAGCAUGUCCUGAUCCCCUUCAAUUCCUUCCCACGACUUAUCAAAGCAGACAUGAAAUAAGUUAAGACAGAAAAAAGGGACUCUUCUUAUGUUAACUGAGUUCAAAGUUAGACUUAUAUUUCAGUUCUUUCAUUUCCUUUGAAAUUUCUCAGCACUCAGUUGUCUUAGAACUAAGCACUUCCAUGACAUGACGUAAGUGUCACCUUUUCCUUUUGCCUUGAUUUUUUUUCCCCUGUAUUUUUAUAACAUAUAUGAAGGCUACCUUAUGGAGAAGUCUUUUAGUGUUUCAGGGGCAAUGUGGUAUAUUAUAUCAAAAAAAAUGAGUAUUUCCUUUUAAGUAUCCCACGUUUUAACACUUCAUUUAAAUUGCAAGUCAGGUGUUACUUUGGGGGAGUUUUUUCCUGUCAUUCUCUUUCUUAUUGUAGAGGAAAGAAUCUUUUCUUCUACCACUCUUAAGUUCAGUGACUGAGGCCUGUAAACUAAGUGGACAAAAGACAGAGCAACAGUUGAAAAAUGUUUAUUUCACAUGCACACUAGAAACUGCACAAUAAAAUCAUUGAAAAACCCUACAAGCAAUAAAAGAAAAGAGUUUGGGGCUGGUAGAUGCACACUAUUACAUUUAGAAUGGGUAAGCAGUGAGAUCCUGCUGUACAGCACGGGGAACUCUAUCCAAUCUCCUGGGAUAGAACAUGAUGGAAGAUAACACGAGAAAAAGAAUGUAUGACUGCGUCACUAUGCUGUAACUGGCACAACACUGUACCAAUUCGAAUUUCAAUUAUACUCCAAUUUUUUAAAAAAGAAAAGAGGUUUGGGCUUCUAGAGAAGGUUGUGAGAAGGCAAAUAUAUGGGAGAAACUCCUGGAGGAUAAGGAGUUAAUAAGAUGUGUUAUGCAGACUCGAGGUGGUACUGUCCGAGGCAUCUCCCCUUCCCUGUAUGGAGGAGGAGAAGGGGACGCCUUCACAAAGGGAAAUUUAUGCCCUGCUUUUAGGCAGAAAGGGGAGGACAGAGAGUUCCUCCUGCAUCUGCUAUUUUUCAAUUGCCUUCAGCUCAAAAUGAUCCUUAAGCCAAAGCACUGUAUUUUGAGGUGGCCUGUUCUGAUCCCCUUCAUUAACUUCAAGGACCUCUAUGGUCAGGCCCUUCCCUGUAUUUCCAGUCACAUCCCCGACCACUCAGUUCCUGAGCCUGCUCUUCAGUAAAGUGCUUCACUUCUUGCCCUCUUACUGAACUCCUGCUUCCUACUUGUAUAUCUGCCUGCAAUACCAUUUGCCCUCCUCCCCUUCUUUCCAACAUUACCCAACCUUUAGCACAAGAGCAAACUAAUUUUCCCAUUUUAAUACCUCCUCUGACCUCCAGCCACAUCAGGUAGCUGCUGCUUCUAACCAUUCUGGGCUCUUUGUUGUCUGAGGAAUGAAUCUGACAGUCUGUCAUUUAGCCCUUCAGAUGUUCAGCGGUUGUUUGAACAGUUACAUAAAUCGUCACUUGUUAUUUAAGUUCUCCCAUUUUGCUCCCUUUUGUCUCUUUAACCUCAAUCCUCUGCCCUCGCUCUCUGUAUCCUGGAGGAAUGCUUCCUAAAGUUAGGAAGAUCUGCAUCCAAAUCCCCUGGAUUCUUGUUGAAAAGGUAGAUUCUGGGACUGAUCACAGAUCGGCCUGUUGGCUUCUCAGUUGAUUCUUCUGCAGCGCAAAGUUUAUGAGUCACUGAUUUAGACAGCACAUCAUUCAUUCAUUUAUUGAUUCGGCAACUAUUUGAGCAUAAAUUAGAUGCCGAGAACCUGGGAUGCAGCAGCGAUUGAAGAAGAGACAGUCCCUGUUAUCUUGUAAUUUCUAACUUCUAAAUAGACAGUGAACAAGGACUUAACAGUACAUUGUGGGUUACAAAGGAGAGAUAUAAAGAGCUGUGGGAAUAUCUAGGAGGGGACCUAAUCCAGGGGGGCAGGUGUCCGGGACUGCUUACCUGAGGAUGUGGAGUCGAGAUCUGAAGGCGGAGUAGGACCUGGCUAGAAGGAGAGGGAAAGGAAGCAGGAGAGAAGGAGGGGGCACAGCAUGGAUGAAGCUCUGGGAUGAGUAAGAGCCUGGCCUCCUCUUUGGAGGGACAAGGACCAACAUGGCUUGAGUCCUCAGGCAGCCGGGAGAAGGUGAUGGGAGAAAGAGCCUAUAACAAGUUACAAGGUAACAAGUGGCAGAUCAUGCAGGACCUUGAGGCUAAGGAGUUUGGAACUUAUCCUAUGGGCAGCUGGAAGCUAUCUGAGAUAGGUUUCAUCUUUCAGACCCUUUUGACUCCAGAAUGGAGCAAGAGUGUGUACCUGGAGACCAUUUGAGAAGCUUUUGGCAAAUGUCCAGGAGAGAGAAGAUGAUGGCUUUAUCAAGGGUGGUAGAGGUAGGGUGGAUUCAGAUGGUACUUAUGAUCUGAUGGUACUUAGGAGAUGGAUAAGGAGGGACUUAAUUAUUAAUAGGAUAUUGGAGUUAAUGGAGUGAAAGACAAGGAAGGGAAAGGGAUGUCUUUCAAUUUUGUUUUGAGAAAAGUUGUUGAAGCCAUGUGACCCUGAGAGAGGACCAAGGUGUGAGGACAAAAGUGUAAGUUCAGCCCCAGAUGUGCAGAUUUUGAAAUACCUAUAAAACAGGUGGGCCCUGUCAUGUACCUUUUCGUAUUUCUCACAGAAGAGGUGGAAUUUUAGUGGGCUUUGAGAGAACUGUAGAAAUAAUUAACACCAAUGGGGAUCCAGUUAGAAGAUUACAAAUAAAUUUUUCCCAUCAGAGGGGUUUCUUUCUGUCUUUUGUCUUACUUGGUACUUGGUGAUCAGCUGAGUUCUAUAUUCCUUAAUAUAGAAAAAGUGACUCAUUUCUCCCAGGAGAUUAUAAUGGUUUUGUUUGUUUGUUUUAUGUUUGUUUAAAAAGUGGUUUGGGGAGUGCUCAUCAUGGUGCAGCAGAAAUGAAUCUGACCAGGAACCAUGAGGUUGCGGGUUCCAUUCCUGGCCUUGCUCAGUGGGUUAAGGAUCCAGCAUUGCCGUGAACUGUGACGUAGGUUGCAGACAAGGCUUGAAUCUGAUGUUGCUGUGGCUGUGGUGUAGGCUGGCAGCUCCAGCUCUGAUUUGACCCCUAGCCUGGGAACCUCCAUAUGCCA